UGCAGUCGAACGGUAGCAGGAAGUGCUUGCACUUUGCUGACGAGUGGCGGACGGGUGAGUAAUACUUAGGAACAUGCCUUUGUGUGGGGGAUAACCAUUGGAAACGAUGGCUAAUACCGCAUAAUGUCUUUGGACCAAAGAGGGCUUUCGGGCUCUCGCGCAAAGAGUGGCCUAAGUGAGAUUAGCUUGUUGGUGAGGUAAAGGCUCACCAAGGCGACGAUCUCUAGCUGUUCUGAGAGGAAGAUCAGCCACACUGGGACUGAGACACGGCCCAGACUCCUACGGGAGGCAGCAGUGGGGAAUAUUGCACAAUGGGGGCAACCCUGAUGCAGCCAUGCCGCGUGUGUGAAGAAGGCCUUCGGGUUGUAAAGCACUUUCAGUUGUGAGGAAAGGUUGGUGGUUAAUACCCAUCAGCUGUGACGUUAGCAACAGAAGAAGCACCGGCUAACUCCGUGCCAGCAGCCGCGGUAAUACGGAGGGUGCGAGCGUUAAUCGGAAUUACUGGGCGUAAAGCGCACGCAGGCGGUUAUAUAAGCUAGAUGUGAAAGCCCCGGGCUCAACCUGGGAAUAGCAUUUAGAACUGUAUGACUAGAGUCUUGGAGAGGGGAGUGGAAUUCCAGGUGUAGCG
This 628-nucleotide ribosomal RNA is filed under the name uncultured bacterium. Its description in RNAcentral is "bacterial SSU rRNA". It matches the Rfam family "Bacterial small subunit ribosomal RNA", at positions 56 to 680 of the family's 1533-position model. The record is from RNAcentral.